Non-coding RNA from Triticum urartu, 1330 nucleotides. Lineage: Eukaryota; Viridiplantae; Streptophyta; Magnoliopsida; Poales; Poaceae. The record is from RefSeq and is a predicted model, not a curated record.
AUACUUUUUAAGAAUCAACCCACAGUCCGCAUCAUUACUAUCUGUAAGUCAGCCUACCGCUUCGAUUUCUUCCCUGUUCAUCACAUGCCCUCGCCUAUCCACACACAUGAUCUCCAAUUUCAGACCGCCUGGUCGCCGCCGCCGGGUGCCGCUCUGCCCCAAGCACGUCUCCUACUCAGGCUUGCCCUCUUCACCCCCCUCUCCCAUCGUCCCCAAAUGGAAAUGCCCCAAGCUCCCCUCGCCGGGCCGCUAACCACAUGCGCCGCCCGCACGCGGCCACGUCUCGCCCGAUUUUCCAUUGCACAUCUCCUACCUUGGGGUCCAGCGAGCGGUGCCGGCAGCCAUGGCUAAUUGCCACGGGUGUGGCCCAUCCGAGCUCCGAUUUAGGCAGGUCGACCGGGUGUCCUUCGGGGCUCGACAGUGGCGGGUGCGGCCAAUCGGAGCUCCGGUUUAGGAAGGUCGACCAAGUCUCCUCCGGGGCUCGACGGUGGCGUGGCCAGCCCGGUGGGGACAGACGCAUCCAGUCUCAGCUGCCACGCGAUCGUCCCUCUAUGUGUCGGCUACUGCUGCACCCCACACUCAUAUAAUUAAGCCAACACUGGGAAAUUGAUAUUUUCAUUCAGAGUCAGACUAACCACCUCUUCAAUUCUGGUUGAUUUGUGGUUUUGAGACUCACGCAAGCAGGUUAUGCGCUCAUGGAGGAGAACCUGCUGUUCCUGGGGGCCUGGAAAGCAGUUGACAACGCUACUACUUGUGACGAGCUGUGUACACAAGGGAAGAGACAUAUGACUCCAAAUGUGCAAAGUCUGCAAGUCAUCACGUGCCACUUCAUAUUUGAGAAAGUUGAGUUUGCAUGUGAGACACUGGAGAGCCCCACUCUGCUCAACUUGAAGGUGCUGUUGCUGAACUUGUAAAGGUGCAACAAGAAGAGGAGGCUGCCUAGAAUUGCUAUAUUGAAGCGGGAUCUGCUGGAAGUUACCUUUGGCCAUCCACUGAUUUAUUUGUUGGGAGGAAGGGCCCUUGCUGGAAGUGUGGAGGGAAUCCCCAUGGUGGCGGCACUCCUGGUUCAGGGUAGCUGAAAUAGCCCGGGAACCACAACAACGACAUUUACAUCUACCAGACUGAUCGAACUGCUGGAAGGAGUUGUUCUGGCUGCGUGCCCCUCUCUCCCUUUGUGUAACAUCCCAAAAUUCUAAAUUUUGGAAUGUUAUAUUAAAUAAUUAAUUAUGACUGUUUGUUUGAUUGUUGUGUGAAUGAUGUUGUGAAAUUGAGUGGAAAUUGAUUUUCUUUUGAAAGUUGAAUGAGAGGAAAUAAAAGGACUUUCCCAAAA